AAUCCAUAGGUUAAUGAGGCGAACCGGGGGAACUGAAACAUCUAAGUACCCCGAGGAAAAGAAAUCAACCGAGAUUCCCCCAGUAGCGGCGAGCGAACGGGGAGGAGCCCAGAGCCUGAAUCAGCAUGUGUGUUAGUGGAAGCGUCUGGAAAGGCGCGCGAUACAGGGUGACAGCCCCGUACACAAAAGCGCAUGUGCUGUGAGCUCGAUGAGUAGGGCGGGACACGUGGUAUCCUGUCUGAAUAUGGGGGGACCAUCCUCCAAGGCUAAAUACUCCUGACUGACCGAUAGUGAACCAGUACCGUGAGGGAAAGGCGAAAAGAACCCCGGCGAGGGGAGUGAAAAAGAACCUGAAACCGUGUACGUACAAGCAGUGGGAGCACCCUUUGGGUGUGACUGCGUACCUUUUGUAUAAUGGGUCAGCGACUUAUAUUCUGUAGCAAGGUUAACCGAAUAGGGGAGCCGGAGGGAAACCGAGUCUUAAUUGGGCGUUAAGUUGCAGGGUAUAGACCCGAAACCCGGUGAUCUAGCCAUGGGCAGGUUGAAGGUUGGGUA
This 555-nucleotide ribosomal RNA is filed under the name Salmonella enterica subsp. enterica serovar Enteritidis. RNAcentral's name for it is "partial 23S ribosomal RNA". It matches the Rfam family "Bacterial large subunit ribosomal RNA", at positions 161 to 758 of the family's 2925-position model. Lineage: Bacteria; Pseudomonadati; Pseudomonadota; Gammaproteobacteria; Enterobacterales; Enterobacteriaceae. The record is from RNAcentral.